UACGUAGGGGGCAAGCGUUAUCCGGAUUUACUGGGUGUAAAGGGGGCGCAGACGGCUGUGUAAGUCUGAAGUGAAAGCCCGCGGCUCAACUGCGGAACUGCUUUGGAAACUACCCAGCUUGAGUAUCGGAGGGGUAAGCGGAAUUCCUGGUGUAGCGGUGAAAUGCGUAGAUAUCAGGAGGAACACCGGUGGCGAAGGCGGCUUACUGGACGAUAACUGACGUUGAGGCCCGAAAGCGUGGGGAG
RNAcentral lists this ribosomal RNA (245 nucleotides) under uncultured Syntrophococcus sp. RNAcentral describes it as "partial 16S ribosomal RNA". It matches the Rfam family "Bacterial small subunit ribosomal RNA", at positions 524 to 768 of the family's 1533-position model. The record is from RNAcentral. Lineage: Bacteria; Bacillati; Bacillota; Clostridia; Lachnospirales; Lachnospiraceae.